UCCUACGGGGGGCAGCAGUGGGGAAUAUUGCACAAUGGGGGAAACCCUGAUGCAGCAACGCCGCGUGAGUGAAGAAGUAUUUCGGUAUGUAAAGCUCUAUCAGCAGGGAAGAAGAUGACGGUACCUGAGUAAGAAGCCCCGGCUAACUACGUGCCAGCAGCCGCGGUAAUACGGAGGAUGCGAGCGUUAUCCGGAUUUAUUGGGUUUAAAGGGUGCGUAGGCGGGAUGCCAAGUCAGCAGUCAAAUACGGGGGCUCAACCUGCGUCCGCCGUUGAAACUGGCGUUCUUGAGU
Molecule: ribosomal RNA, 292 nt
Filed under: uncultured bacterium
Lineage: Bacteria
Description: partial 16S ribosomal RNA
Rfam family: Bacterial small subunit ribosomal RNA
Source: RNAcentral